Molecule: ribosomal RNA, 1508 nt
Filed under: Anaerolineales bacterium
Lineage: Bacteria; Bacillati; Chloroflexota; Anaerolineae; Anaerolineales
Description: bacterial SSU rRNA
Rfam family: Archaeal small subunit ribosomal RNA
Source: RNAcentral
GAAUUCCGAUUGAUCCCGUCGGACCCCACUGCUAUCGAGGUGGGACUAAGCCAUGCCAGUCGAACGACCCGGACUAUGGCGGGGAGUGGCAGACUGCUCAGUAACACGUAGCUAACCUACCCUCGGGACGGGGAUAACCCCGGGAAACUGGGGCUAAUACCCGAUAGGUAUGGAUUCCUGGAAUGGUGCCAUGCCUAAACGUAAGCACAUCCAUGUUUGUGUGCACGCCCGAGGAUGGGGCUGCGGCCGAUCAGGCAGUUGGUGAGGUAACGGCUCACCAAACCUUUGACCGGUACGGGCCAUGAGAGUGGUAGCCCGGAGAUGGGCACUGAGACAAGGGCCCAGGCCCUACGGGGCGCAGCAGGCGCGAAACCUCCACAAUUCACGCAAGUGAGAUGGGGUUACCUCGAGUGCCAUCUGAAGAAGGUGGCUUUUCCAUGGUGUAAUGAGCCGUGGGAAUAAGGGGGGGGCAAGACUGGUGUCAGCCGCCGCGGUAACACCAGCCCCCCGAGUGGUGGGGAUGAUUAUUUGGCCUAAAGCGUCCGUAGCCAGCUCGGUAAAUCUCUCGUUAAAUCCAGCGUCCUAAGCGUUGGGCUGCGAGGGAAACUGCCGAACUAGAGGGUGGGAGAGGUCAGCGGUAUUCCUGGGGUAGGGGCGAAAUCCAUUGAUCCCAGGAGGACCACCAGUGGCGAAGGCUGCUGACUAGAACACGCCUGACGGUGAGGGACGAAAGCUGGGGUAGCGAAUCGGAUUAGAUACCCGAGUAGUCCCAGCCGUAAACGAUGCAGGCUAGGUGUUGGGUCGGCCAUGCGCCGCCUCAGUGCCACAGGGAAGCCAUUAAGCCUGCCGCCUGGGGAGUACGGCCGCAAGGCUGAAACUUAAAGGAAUUGGCGGGGGAGCACCACCAGGCGUGAAGCCUGCGGUUUAAUUGGAGUCAACGCCGGGAACCUUACCGGGAGCGACAGCAGAGUGAAGGCCAGGCUGAAGGUCUUGCCAGACGAGCUGAGAGGAGGUGCAUGGCCGUCGCCAGUUCGUGCCGUGAGGUGUCCUCUUAAGUGAGGUAACGAACGAGACCCGCGCCCCAUGUUGCCAGCAAAUCCUAAAGGGAUGUUGGGCACUCUUGGGGGACCGCAGCCGACAAGGCUGAGGAAGGUGCGGGCAACGGCAGGUCAGUAUGCCCCGAAUCUCCCGGGCCACACGCGGGCUGCAAUGGUAGUGACAGAGGGCUGCCACCUCGAGAGGGGGAGCCAAUCCCUAAACACUACCUCAGUUGGGAUCGAGGGCUGCAACCCGCCCUCGUGAACAUGGAAUGCCUAGUAACCGCCGGUCAUCAUCCGGCGGUGAAUACGUCCCUGCUCCUUGCACACACUGCCCGUCGAACCACCCGAAUGAGGUUUUGGUGAGGUACGGUCGAAAGUUGGCCGUCUCGAACCUAGGCCUCGUAAGGAGGGUUAAGUCGUAACAAGGUGGCCGUAGGGGAACCUGCGGCCGGAUCACCUCCUAAGAAA